UAGGGAAUCUUCGGCAAUGGACGAAAGUCUGACCGAGCAACGCCGCGUGAGUGAAGAAGGUUUUCGGAUCGUAAAACUCUGUUGUUAGAGAAGAACAAGGACGUUAGUAACUGAACGUCCCCUGACGGUAUCUAACCAGAAAGCCACGGCUAACUACGUGCCAGCAGCCGCGGUAAUACGUAGGUGGCAAGCGUUGUCCGGAUUUAUUGGGCGUAAAGCGAGCGCAGGCGGUUUCUUAAGGCUGAUGUGAAAGCCCCCGGCUCAACCGGGGAGGGUCAUUGGAAACUGGGAGACUUGAGUGCAGAAGAGGAGAGUGGAAUUCCAUGUGUAGCGGUGAAAUGCGUAGAUAUAUGGAGGAACACCAGUGGCGAAGGCGGCUCUCUGGUCUGUAACUGACGCUGAGGAUCGAAAGCGUGGGGAACAAACAGG
RNAcentral lists this ribosomal RNA (429 nucleotides) under Gemmatimonadota bacterium. RNAcentral describes it as "Gemmatimonadetes bacterium partial 16S ribosomal RNA". It matches the Rfam family "Bacterial small subunit ribosomal RNA", at positions 355 to 776 of the family's 1533-position model. The record is from RNAcentral. Lineage: Bacteria; Pseudomonadati; Gemmatimonadota.